Molecule: ribosomal RNA, 1305 nt
Filed under: Ascomycota sp. L339
Lineage: Eukaryota; Fungi; Ascomycota
Description: eukaryotic LSU rRNA
Source: RNAcentral
UUGAAAUUUGAAAGGAUUCGGAGGGGACCUGCGGAAGGAUCAUUAUUGGUGGGGGCUUCGGCCCUUUGCGUAAUGCAAACCCUCUGCCUAUUUUUAGUAGUAUCUCUGUUUCCUCGGCAGCUUAGUGCUAAACAGCUUUGCCUGUCAAAGGACCCCCAAUAACAACCCUUGUAAUCUCGAUAAUGUUCAGAAAAACUCAAUUUUUACAACUUUCAACAAUGGAUCUCUUGGCUCUGGCAUCGAUGAAGAACGCAGCGAAAUUGCGAUUAAGUAGUGUGAAUUGCAGAAUUCAGUGAAUUCAUUCGAAUCUUUGAACGCACAUUGCGCCCUUUGGUAUUCCUUAGGGCAUGCCUGUUCGAGCGUCAUUUAAAACCUCAAGCACGGCUUAGUGGCAGGACCCUAAGAGGGACCUGCCCGCAGCCCGGCUUGGUGAUGGGCGCCUGUCCCCGCCGUGGUGCGCGGACUCGCCUCAAAUGCAGUUGGCAGCCCCAAUACCUCCUCAAUCGGAUCCGAAGUAGAAUUCGCAGGCCGUGGAUGGUGGUGGCUCUCCAAAGUAGGCAACCCGUAAAGCGUCUCCUCAAUCGGAUCCGAAGUAAAAUUCGCAGGCCGUGGACGGCGGUGGGGUCCUACGAGCAAUUCGCCCUAGAGCAGGGUGACCCAGAUUGACCUCGGAUCAGGUAGGGAUACCCGCUGAACUUAAGCAUAUCAAUAAGCGGAGGAAAAGAAACCAACAGGGAUUGCCCUAGUAACGGCGAGUGAAGCGGCAACAGCUCAAAUUUGAAAUCUGGCCUUCGGGUCCGAGUUGUAAUUUGCAGAGGGCGCUUUGGCAUCGGCUGUGGUCUAAGUUCCUUGGAACAGGACGUCGCAGAGGGUGAGAAUCCCGUUUUGUGGCCGCCAGCCUUUGCCGUGUAAAAGCCCCUUUCGAAGAGUCGAGUUGUUUGGGGAAUGCAGCUUCUAAUUGGGAGGUAAAUUUCUUCUAAAGCUAAAAUAUCUGCCAGAGACCGAUAGCGCACAAGUAGAGUGAUCGAAAGAUGAAAAGCACUUUGGAAAGAGAGUCAAAAAGCACGUGAAAUUGUUGAAAGGGAAGCGCUUGCAGUUAGACAUGCCUUUAGUUGCUCAGCCGGGCUUUGGCCCGGUGCACUCUUCUAUUGGCAGGCCAGCAUCAGUUUGGGSGGUCGGAUAAAGGCCUAUUAAACGUGACUCCCCUCGGGGAGAGCUUAUAGGGUAGGCGUCAUGCGAUCAGCCUGGACUGAGGUCCGCGCAUCGCUAGAUGUGGAAAUUGAAGGCUUUUUUAAACCAAAAAAA